Stegodyphus dumicola is the source of this 496-nucleotide long non-coding RNA. RefSeq lists it as uncharacterized. NCBI's taxonomy places the organism in Eukaryota, Metazoa, Arthropoda, Arachnida, Araneae, Eresidae. The record is from RefSeq and is a predicted model, not a curated record.
GAAGUCAAGGUCCUCGCUCGCUCUUCGCCAUAAAAGCAAGCUUGAGAUCCCAUAAAAAGCAAGCAAGACAUCACUUCAUUAGAUAGUUUUCACAGUGACCUGCCACCAAGAGUUGCAAUCUGCUUUAUCCUAUCUCUUAGGAUUAUUUCCACAUUUCAGUCAUGUUCUCCGUGCCCAAAAAUGCCUGUUGCUUAUUGGUGCUAUGCUGUCUGAUUGCGAUCCAAGCUGAGCGGCUGCCGACAGCAAACUUCAUGGCUAGUCUCGUGUCACGUGUACAAGAAAUCGAACCCUUGGAGGUGCGAGAGUAUAGAAACAGCUGCCUUCGAGAGCCCGGAUGUCGAUGGAAGUGUACAGAUAUUUGUUAUUGCGUGUGCGGUUCUCGAUUAAACAAAAACUGAACUAACUAAAGGCAGCCUAAAGCUGUUUUAACCAGUAUUUGCAAUUAAAUGUACAUAUAUUUUAUUCUGAAUGUAAUAAAAGUUUUUUUUUACCUCUA